AUUCUUUUAUUUGGCAUGUACUGUACAAGCAUUUAUGUGUACCAAAGUUAUAAUAUUUAAUUUUUAAGGACUGAGAAAUAAGGCGUGUAAGGUAAAAAAUAAUUUAGCUAUUACGAUAUGCCUUGUGGUGGGUGUGUAGCCGCAUACUAAUUUCAUGGCUGUGUAUAGAUGGAACCGUGGAACUGUCUACCUCUUAGUACUACUACAGGUAUAUCAUAGCAGCAAUAGACAGCGUUAAAUUGGUGAAAUGUGCAGAAACGCCAUGUAUCACAACAGGGGCAUAAUAAUUAGGCCUACAAUUGAUGGGAUAUUAAUAAUAAGCAUGAACCACCGUUCAUGUAAACGUAAUUUUGCAAAUUCCCAUGAUCCUGGAACCAAAAAGGAGACCCAUAUUGUUGUGAUUUCAUUCAAAAGGAAGGUUGAAGUGCUUACAGUAUAGCCUCGUGUAAGGCUUAACAGAGCUGCUUCAUGGCCGACAAUAAACGUUAUUUCUAGUUCCGUUCAUGAUAGGCCUAGGGCAGGGCUCUGUUGUUGGAUUUGAUGUGUUUUCCAUACAUUUUGUAGGCAGCUUUGCUCUGGCGUUAUUAAAAGCAAUGCUACGCAAUGUUUGCCAGUAUAGUACAGUAUAUAUAAACGUAUAGCCUGUAAGGUCCCAUUUUUAUAUAGGCCUAUUUCAUAUAAAUUAUGGUACAGGUAUUUAAAAGAACGGUAAAGCUUUGUGUAUGGUAAGCGACCCAACUUCGAGUUGAAAUUUGCUCUUCUAGGCCUAUAUCUUGUCCAUUUAUUUUGUAUUGCUUCCGAAAGAAUUCUGAUCAAUUUUUUAAACCAUGAAUACCGCCGUCCAUGUACUUUGUGCACCAGGUGGCUAGUUGGUAUAGGCCUACUGUCAUUUUACUAGGCCUAGACCUAUUCAUGAAGGUAUCAAAAUAUAAAUUAUAACUCGAUGGCCUAUUUUAGGUUUACACUGUACACAUCUCUAUCAAUGUUAAUUAAAAUUUGUAAUGUUAAAAUUUACAGAAAAUUCUAAUUUCAUUUAAUUUUUAAAUAUGUAUUAAUUAUUCUUCGUGAAUCUUUAAAAAGUUUCAUUUGCAGUGGAGUUAUGUUCGUCACCGUACUUAAAGGACGGAAUGCAACAAAAUUGUUAAGCAACCAGGAAGUGAUCAACAACCUUUGACACACUUCUGACAUGACCUGUCAUAAACAAGUCCAGGAAGUAAAUUCUAAGAAAUAAUUUAAACUAUUUCCCGGUUUGAAACAGAUGUAUUUUAGGUUUUUAGUAGGCUUAUAUCCUUUUAUUAAAUAGAAUAAAUAACGAAGAUACCAAAUGUACAUGGAACACAAGAAUGUAGAUGGUGUGUACAUACAUUGUGUUGCCUGCUAACUUGUGCACUUACCUGUCAUAAUAAUGGUUAAGUGCAUGAUUUUAUAUGAAUGGCAUAACGAAAAGGGGAGGGGCACGGACCGGGAGAAACUCCCGUAAAGAAUAUACCUGCAUGCCAGCCAUGAAAGUAUAAAACCCGUUUAAUGCUACAUCUAGAUUGCUAACCAGAACUAUUUGUUUUAAAUUAGAGUAUUCUUUAUUGAAUAUACAGUACAUCCUUAUAUACUAUAUAACCUGUAGGCUCAAUGACUGUAGAGGCCUAUCUUUUUGGCUGUAAAGAUAAAAGUUCUUGAUUGGAGGCCUAUAUAAAUAUUUUCUUGUCAUAUUUUGGUAUUGCUUCCAAUAGAAUUCAAAUCAAACUACUGCAUUAUUUAUCACCGCGUUCGGUAUUGAACUUACAAUAUUUAGCCCUACUGUUAUCUACAAACUUGAAAAUGAAUUACAUUAUUUU
Anneissia japonica is the source of this 1832-nucleotide long non-coding RNA. RefSeq lists it as uncharacterized. NCBI's taxonomy places the organism in Eukaryota, Metazoa, Echinodermata, Crinoidea, Comatulida, Comatulidae. The record is from RefSeq and is a predicted model, not a curated record. The transcript is spliced from 2 exons.